RNAcentral lists this small RNA (777 nucleotides) under Pan troglodytes (chimpanzee). RNAcentral's name for it is "processed transcript". Lineage: Eukaryota; Metazoa; Chordata; Mammalia; Primates; Hominidae. The record is from RNAcentral.
GCGCGGGGGCGCCCCUGCCCACCGCUCCCGGCAGGGCUUUUGGUGGCCAUGGGGGAUAACGCGCGUUGACUCACCCGGGCGGGGCUCCGGGAGUUGCACAGACCAAGGCCCUGUGCCUCCCUCUACAGCCCUCAGGGAGCUCAUUGAGGAGCUGGUCAACAUCACCCAGAACCAGAAGGCUCCGCUCUGCAAUGGCAGCAUGGUAUGGAGCAUCAACCUGACAGCUGGCGUGUACUGUGCAGCCCUGGAAUCCCUGAUCAACGUGUCAGGCUGCAGUGCCAUCGAGAAGACCCAGAGGAUGCUGAGCGGAUUCUGCCCGCACAAGGUCUCAGCUGGGCAGUUUUCCAGCUUGCAUGUCCGAGACACCAAAAUCGAGGUGGCCCAGUUUGUAAAGGACCUGCUCUUACAUUUAAAGAAACUUUUUCGCGAGGGACGGUUCAACUGAAACUUCGAAAGCAUCAUUAUUUGCAGAGACAGGACCUGACUAUUGAAGUUGCAGAUUCAUUUUUCUUUCUGAUGUCAAAAAUGUCUUGGGUAGGCGGGAAGGAGGGUUAGGGAGGGGUAAAAUUCCUUAGCUUAGACCUCAGCCUGUGCUGCCUGUCUUCAGCCUAGCCGACCCCAGCCUUCCCCUUGCCCAGGGCUCAGCCUGGUGGGCCUCCUCUGUCCAGGGCCCUGAGCUCGGUGGACCCAGGGAUGACAUGUCCCUACACCCCUCCCCUGCCCUAGAGCACACUGUAGCAUUACAGUGGGUGCCCCCCUUGCCAGACAUGUGGUGGG